UACGUAGGGUGCAAGCGUUGUCCGGAAUUACUGGGCGUAAAGGGCUCGUAGGCGGCCAACUAAGUCAUACGUGAAAUCCCUCGGCUUAACCGGGGAACUGCGUCUGAUACUGGAUGGCUUGAGAUUGGGAGAGGGAUGCGGAAUUCCAGGUGUAGCGGUGAAAUGCGUAGAUAUCUGGAGGAACACCGGUGGCGAAGGCGGCAUCCUGGACCAACACUGACGCUGAGGAGCGAAAGCCAGGGGAGCAAACGGG
Molecule: ribosomal RNA, 253 nt
Filed under: uncultured bacterium
Lineage: Bacteria
Description: partial 16S ribosomal RNA
Rfam family: Bacterial small subunit ribosomal RNA
Source: RNAcentral